Molecule: ribosomal RNA, 447 nt
Filed under: uncultured bacterium
Lineage: Bacteria
Description: partial 16S ribosomal RNA
Rfam family: Bacterial small subunit ribosomal RNA
Source: RNAcentral
AUUGAACGCUGGCGGCAUGCCUUACACAUGCAAGUCGAACGCCCCGCAAGGGGAGUGGCAGACGGGUGAGUAACGCGUGGGAAUCUACCCAUCUCUGCGGAAUAGCUCCGGGAAACUGGAAUUAAUACCGCAUACGCCCUACGGGGGAAAGAUUUAUCGGGGAUGGAUGAGCCCGCGUUGGAUUAGCUAGUUGGUGGGGUAAAGGCCUACCAAGGCGACGAUCCAUAGCUGGUCUGAGAGGAUGAUCAGCCACAUUGGGACUGAGACACGGCCCAAACUCCUACGGGAGGCAGCAGUGGGGAAUAUUGGACAAUGGGCGCAAGCCUGAUCCAGCCAUGCCGCGUGAGUGAUGAAGGCCUUAGGGUUGUAAAGCUCUUUCACCGGUGAAGAUAAUGACGGUAACCGGAGAAGAAGCCCCGGCUAACUUCGUGCCAGCCGCCGCAGUAA